CCACUCAUGACUGUGAACUAGUCAACUAUGUCCUUGCUAGUCUUGGAUCAGAAUAUGAUCCUUUAAUCACUUCUAUCACCACCCGAAUUGAUCCAAUGACUAUACAAGAGGUCUAUGGCCAUCUACUCAAUUUUGAGC
This is a small nucleolar RNA of Juglans regia (Persian walnut), 138 nucleotides long. RefSeq annotates it as small nucleolar RNA Z247. Lineage: Eukaryota; Viridiplantae; Streptophyta; Magnoliopsida; Fagales; Juglandaceae. The transcript has a single exon. The record is from RefSeq and is a predicted model, not a curated record.